Microcebus murinus (gray mouse lemur) is the source of this 697-nucleotide long non-coding RNA. RefSeq lists it as uncharacterized. The record is from RefSeq and is a predicted model, not a curated record. Lineage: Eukaryota; Metazoa; Chordata; Mammalia; Primates; Cheirogaleidae.
CCAUGUGGGCUUACAAGGAGAAAUCAGCUGUCUGCAACCCAGAAGAGGGCCCUCAACACAGGCCAACUAAGCUGGCACCUUGACCCUGGAUUUCCAGCCUCCAGAACAGGCGGACCCAAGGCUGGAACCCAGGGUGCUGAUUCCCCAGAACUGUCAUCCGAUGCAGCUGCCCUAUGGAGAAUGAAAUCGUGGGACCUUCCACCAUUCUUUCAUUACGACAUUUGGGCAUCUUCAACUUCAUUUUUAUGGAAAUCUUCAUCAUGUUCAAUACCCCAGAUCCAUAUCUACAGAACAUUGAACAAGCUCCAGGUAUCCUUGCCACAGCACUAAAUCUCAAAUCAUGGCACAUUCCCCAUAUCAAUAAAUUCUUCCCUAUCCAACGUAUCUUCUGUGUCCUUGAUCCCUCUCCCCGUCCAACACUCUCAGGAUCCAUUAUCACAUCAUGUUCCCCUAGAUCUUGUCAGUAUACAUAAGCCAGAUCAAAUAAUUCCCUUGGCAUGUAAAGUAUUUUUUUUUCCAAAAGCAGAGCUUAUACUUUCUCACUUGGGCUGUGCUGAUUCCUUACUCUGUUUAUUGGCCUGAAAGCAAUGCGAGGGGAUAGGAAAGAUACUGACAAAAAUAAGCAUCAUCUUUUAAGGCACUUGCCUUCAGAUGAGAUCAUUACGUGGUGUCCAGGCAAGGCGGGCAGUUUUCUGGG